CAGCCGCCACGGGAAUACGUAGGGUGCGAGCGUUAAUCGGAAUUACUGGGCGUAAAGCGUGCGCAGGCGGUUAUAUAAGACAGAUGUGAAAUCCCCGGGCUCAACCUGGGACCUGCAUUUGUGACUGUAUAGCUAGAGUACGGUAGAGGGGGAUGGAAUUCCGCGUGUAGCAGUGAAAUGCGUAGAUAUGCGGAGGAACACCGAUGGCGAAGGCAAUCCCCUGGACCUGUACUGACGCUCAUGCACGAAAGCGUGGGGAGCAAACAGGAUUAGAUACCCCUGUAGUCCCUGUCUCUUAUAC
This 301-nucleotide ribosomal RNA is filed under the name uncultured bacterium. RNAcentral's name for it is "partial 16S ribosomal RNA". It matches the Rfam family "Bacterial small subunit ribosomal RNA", at positions 509 to 807 of the family's 1533-position model. The record is from RNAcentral.